Molecule: ribosomal RNA, 468 nt
Filed under: uncultured bacterium
Lineage: Bacteria
Description: partial 16S ribosomal RNA
Rfam family: Bacterial small subunit ribosomal RNA
Source: RNAcentral
GACGAACGCUGGCGGCGUGCUUAACACAUGCAAGUCGAACGGAAAGGCCCUGCUUUUGUGGGGUGCUCGAGUGGCGAACGGGUGAGUAACACGUGAGUAACCUGCCCUUGACUUUGGGAUAACUUCAGGAAACUGGGGCUAAUACCGGAUAGGAGCUCCUGCUGCAUGGUGGGGGUUGGAAAGUUUCGGCGGUUGGGGAUGGACUCGCGGCUUAUCAGCUGGUUGGUGGGGUAGUGGCUUACCAAGGCUUUGACGGGUAGCCGGCCUGGGAGGGUGACCGGCCACAUUGGGACUGAGAUACGGCCCAGACUCCUACGGGAGGCAGCAGUGGGGAAUAUUGCACAAUGGGCGGAAGCCUGAUGCAGCAACGCCGCGUGCGGGAUGACGGCCUUCGGGUUGUAAACCGCUUUCGCAUGUGACGAAGCGUGAGUGACGGUAAUGGGUAAAGAAGCACCGGCUAACUACGUG